RNAcentral lists this ribosomal RNA (253 nucleotides) under uncultured bacterium. RNAcentral describes it as "partial 16S ribosomal RNA". It matches the Rfam family "Bacterial small subunit ribosomal RNA", at positions 524 to 776 of the family's 1533-position model. The record is from RNAcentral.
UACGGAGGAUCCAAGCGUUAUCCGGAAUCAUUGGGUUUAAAGGGUCCGUAGGCGGUUUUGUAAGUCAGUGGUGAAAGCCCAUCGCUCAAUGGUGGAACGGCCAUUGAUACUGCAAGACUUGAAUUAUUAGGAAGUAACUAGAAUAUGUAGUGUAGCGGUGAAAUGCUUAGAGAUUACAUGGAAUACCAAUUGCGAAGGCAGGUUACUACUAAUGGAUUGACGCUGAUGCACGAAAGCGUGGGGAGCAAACAGG